RNAcentral lists this ribosomal RNA (253 nucleotides) under uncultured bacterium. Its description in RNAcentral is "partial 16S ribosomal RNA". It matches the Rfam family "Bacterial small subunit ribosomal RNA", at positions 524 to 776 of the family's 1533-position model. The record is from RNAcentral.
UACGUAGGGUGCGAGCGUUGUCCGGAAUUACUGGGCGUAAAGAGCUCGUAGGCGGUUUGUCGCGUCGUCUGUGGAAUUUCGCAGCUUAACUGUGGGCGUGCAGGCGAUACGGGCAGACUUGAGUGCUGCAGGGGAGACUGGAAUUCCUGGUGUAGCGGUGAAAUGCGCAGAUAUCAGGAGGAACACCGGUGGCGAAGGCGGGUCUCUGGGCAGUUACUGACGCUGAGGAGCGAAAGCGUGGGGAGCGAACAGG